CCUACGGGUGGCUGCAGUAGGGAAUCUUCCACAAUGGGCGAAAGCCUGAUGGAGCAACGCCGCGUGGGUGAAGAAGGUCUUCGGAUCGUAAAACCCUGUUGUUAGAGAAGAAAGUGCGUGAGAGUAACUGUUCACGUUUCGACGGUAUCUAACCAGAAAGCCACGGCUAACUACGUGCCAGCAGCUGCGGUAAUACGUAGGUGGCAAGCGUUAUCCGGAUUUAUUGGGCGUAAAGGGAACGCAGGCGGUCUUGUAAGUCUGAUGUGAAAGCCGUCGGCUUAACCGGAGUAGUGCAUUGGAAACUGGGUGAGUUGAGUGGAGAAGAAGGGAGGGGAACGCGAUGUGUAGCGGUGAAAUGCGUAGAU
Molecule: ribosomal RNA, 365 nt
Filed under: uncultured bacterium
Lineage: Bacteria
Description: partial 16S ribosomal RNA
Rfam family: Bacterial small subunit ribosomal RNA
Source: RNAcentral